Python bivittatus (Burmese python) is the source of this 5908-nucleotide RNA transcript. It is a transcript of the gene named N-ethylmaleimide sensitive factor, vesicle fusing ATPase, with no coding region annotated. The record is from RefSeq and is a predicted model, not a curated record. NCBI's taxonomy places the organism in Eukaryota, Metazoa, Chordata, Lepidosauria, Squamata, Pythonidae.
AAUCUGCAAAUGCAAAAGAUUCUGAAUAUUUAUAUAUUUAAAGAUAUGUGCAAGUCAAUGGAAUAUGAGGUAUCUGUAUGGUACUUGUGCUGGAUUUGGACUGUGGGAGAUACUUUUAAGGAAACUGACCUAAACAACUAAUCCAGAAAUCAUAACUUAGCACAAUGAGCAACCAAGCCUCAUAAAGUCUACAAUAUACAGAUAUAAGGGACUUAAUUCAUAUUAGAAUUUGCAAAGACAAAGCAAUAUUUUGAAAUCUUGAACAACUGAGGUAAAAUUCACAGCAGGUUUACACAUUCCACUAAGCCAUGACAUGUUUUGCUUGAUUUUGGCAUACUUUAGUCUGUUGUCUGAACCCAGAGCUUGUGAUUGUAAAUCAUGGCUUAAUAUAUUGUACCAGCUCAAUUAACAAUGGUUUAUUCAUCAAAUCAUAGUUAACAAAUGCUAUAUAGGAACUUUAAACUAUUCUGGCUGUUAUUUUAUUACUGUAAUUAUUAUUCAAUUUUUAAUCUGAGGUGUAAUGUGGUAUAAGCCACUUAAGCAAAAUUUGGUUUUGAAGGGUGUCAUACAACCUUUGAAAAUGAACUAGAAGAUACCUGAACCCUCUGUUGUUCAAGAGAAACAAAUUUGAAAGAACAUAAACCUAUUUCUCUUUGCUCCGGCUGCUAUGCCUGCCGAGAUUCUUAGUAGUUAAUCACAGCUAUGUUAAAAUCUUGGAUUUCCUCAUCACUGUAUAUUGACCACUCUAAUUUCCUUUUCGAGCGAUUUUUAGCAAGUCUGCACUCUGGAUGCAGAAACAACCUAUGGCGAUGGCUCUGCCCUUUCUAUAUAUCGUAAGGAGCUACAAGAAAGAGAUACGUUUUCUGAAGCCAGUUUCAUUCUCUCAGCUUGUGAAGUAGAGCCAUAGGCAUUGCCCAUGGAAAACCCGAGGCUUAUCCUGCAACAUUACUCAGUAAGAUCCCGUAAAAGCUUCCUAUUAAUGUUCACCUCGAUGAUUGCCUACCCUUGCCUUAAGCUGGGGACAGUUCUCCAAGGGACCAAAUUCAGAGGGGUAGCAUUCGCUAUCCUCUUCUCUGCGGUACUCCUGUGUCUAACCGGGGAGAACAUUAUUCAGACGUCACCUACCGAGGAAUCUACCCACCUUCCUUGCUUCUCCACGAACACAGAAACGAGUAAAUCAAGAAAGACCGGAAAUGGGCGGGGAGCGGAUUGGCCACGCCUCUCGCGAGUGACGCAAUCAUUUCUUCCCGCCCCUCUUUAGCAGGUUUCGCGCUUGGCGGCUUCGCAUCCCUGUCAGUCCCGUCUUCGGCAGUGGAAGAGCAAGAUGGCGGCCCGGACAAUGCAAGCGGCAAGAUGUCCCACAGAUGAACUCUCCUUAACCAACUGUGCUGUGGUCAAUGAAAAAGACUUUCAGUCCGGCUUGCAUGUAGUUGUGAAGACCUCACCUAACCACAAAUACGUUUUUACACUGAGAAGUCAUGCCUCCGUUGUCCCAGGUAGCAUCGCUUUCAGUUUGCCACAGAGAAAAUGGGCUGGCCUUUCUAUUGGGCAAGAAAUAGAUGUUUCCUUGUAUAAUUUUGAUAAGACGAAGCAGUGUAUUGGCACUAUGACUAUUGAGAUAGAUUUCCUGCAGAAGAAAAAUAUUGACUCAAAUCCCUAUGACUCAGACAAAAUGGCGGCUGAGUUCAUCCAGCAAUUCAACAACCAAGCAUUUACAGUUGGACAGCAGCUUGUAUUUAGCUUUAAUGACAAACUUUUUGGCCUGUUGGUCAAGGACAUCGAAGCCAUGGAUCCUAGCAUUCUUAAAGGAGAAUCUGCCACAGGUAAAAAACAGAAGAUUGAAAUUGGUCUUGUUGUUGGAAAUAGUCAAGUUGCAUUUGAGAAGGCUGAGAGUUCUUCCCUCACUCUUAUUGGCAAAUCCAAAACUCGGGAAAAUCGUCAGUCUAUCAUCAACCCUGAUUGGAAUUUUGAGAAGAUGGGUAUUGGAGGUCUUGAUAAGGAAUUUUCUGAUAUCUUCCGGCGGGCAUUUGCCUCCCGAGUAUUCCCACCUGAGAUUGUGGAGCAAAUGGGCUGCAAACAUGUGAAAGGCAUCCUCUUAUAUGGCCCUCCUGGCUGUGGUAAGACGCUUAUGGCCAGGCAGAUUGGCAAAAUGCUGAAUGCCAGGGAGCCAAAAAUAGUGAAUGGGCCCGAAAUCCUCAACAAGUACGUCGGUGAAUCAGAGGCCAACAUUCGCAAGCUCUUUGCAGAUGCUGAAGAAGAACAGAAGAGGCUUGGGGCAAACAGUGGUGUUCACAUCAUCAUCUUUGAUGAAAUCGACGCUAUCUGCAAACAGCGAGGGAGUAUGGCAGGCAGCACCGGGGUCCAUGACACUGUUGUGAACCAGCUCUUGUCCAAAAUUGAUGGAGUUGAACAGUUGAACAACAUCUUGGUGAUUGGUAUGACCAAUAGGCCGGACCUGAUUGAUGAAGCACUCUUGCGACCUGGACGACUGGAAGUGAAAAUGGAAAUUGGCUUGCCUGAUGAAAAAGGUCGAAUACAGAUUCUCAACAUCCACACAUCAAGGAUGCGAACCCACCAGCUGCUGUCUUCAGAUGUUGAUAUUACAGAACUGGCUGUGGAGACCAAGAACUUUAGUGGUGCUGAACUUGAGGGUCUCGUUCGGGCGGCCCAGUCCACAGCUAUGAACAGACAUAUUAAGGCCAGCACUAAGGUGGAAGUUGAUAUGGAAAAAGCAGAAUCCCUACAGGUGACAAGGGGAGACUUUUUUGCUUCACUGGAGAAUGACAUUAAGCCGGCAUUUGGGACCAAUCAGGAGGAUUAUGCAAGCUAUAUUAUGAAUGGCAUUAUUAAAUGGGGUGACCCUGUUACUCGGGUGCUGGAUGAUGGGGAACUUCUUGUUCAGCAGGUCAAAAACAGUGACCGUACUCCCUUGGUCAGUGUUCUUUUGGAAGGUCCCCCACACAGUGGGAAGACAGCCUUAGCUGCAAAGAUUGCAGAAGAAUCUAAUUUCCCCUUCAUCAAGAUCUGCUCUCCUGAUAAGAUGAUUGGCUUUUCAGAAACUGCCAAGUGCCAGGCAAUUAAGAAGAUCUUUGAUGAUGCUUAUAAGUCUCAGCUCAGCUGUGUGGUGGUGGAUGACAUUGAACGGCUUCUUGAUUAUGUUCCAAUCGGGCCACGUUUCUCCAACCUAGUGCUGCAGGCCCUUCUGGUGCUAUUGAAAAAAACACCACCUAAUGGUCGCAAACUCUUGAUCAUUGGGACUACUAGUCGCAAGGAUGUCCUGCAGGAGAUGGAGAUGCUAGAUACUUUUAGCACUACUAUCCAUAUUCCCAACAUUGCUACGGGGGAUCAUCUCAUGGAUGCCCUGGAGCUCCUGAGCGGCUUCAAAGACAAGGAACGCAGCACCAUUGCUCAGAAUGUCAAAGGGAAGAAGGUCUGGAUUGGCAUCAAGAAGCUCCUGAUGUUAAUUGAGAUGUCAUUGCAGAUGGAUCCUGAGUACCGUGUGAGAAAAUUCCUGGCACUUCUACGAGAGGAAGGAGCUAGUCCACUGGAUUUAGAGUGAAGCCUGAACCUUGUUAAAAGCUGGUGGCCUGGAAAACAGCCAAGCAGGAGACUGCCCCUCUACGAUCUUCUUCCAUGUGGCACAUUUGGACAACUGCAUAAUGUUCAGUUCUCUUCAGAGACUCUCCUGAACUACUACUUUUUUUCUUUCUUUCUUUUUCUUUUUUUGCAUGUCAGACGCAACUAAGUACUCUACCCUUGUCUUUGAUAUCCUGGUGUAUUGUGGCAAAUCAAACCUCUUCUAGAGUAACUGCUUUGGUGUUAUGAUACAGUAACUGAUUGAUACUGGUGCACAAGCAGAGGAGUAGAAAUGUGCCAUGUACAGACCGAUAGACAUUAAUGCUGAAGCUCAGGCAUAACAUGUGGGAAAGUCUCUCCAUUCUUAGCCUACACCAAUCCAGUGUGAAAGCCAGUAACCAUUUGCACAGUUAUAAACACUUGGUGAUGGUUUCUCCCACCCCAGUCUUGUUAAGUAGUUGCUUGUUCUUGUAGAUUUGUCCCACAUUGUGGAGUUUCAGCCUCCUCUCAAGAAAAACAAAUGAUACCUGAGGUGUUUAGUGCUGCCUGUGGUUUCUGAUGAGCUAGGAUCCAGGAGCUGCUUUCUGCCUUGAUUUUAGGCAAGAUUAGCUGCUGUGCCCACAAGCCCUCAUCAGCAUUUGCAGUGGCUCAGUUAGCUGAUGUCCAAUAGAAUUUGACUGCCAGCUACAGAAGUGACAGUGAGAUGUCUGACAUACUUACACUAUGAACAGAUAGCAGGCUGCACCUGAUUCCCAUAACAUGUUGAGAAUAUUCUUCUACCUUUGGUCACAAUGGCCCUUACCUGCUACAAUCUGCCCUCUUUUAAGGGAAUGUUGCACAGAAUUACUUUAAGAGAUCAGCCCUGCCGCAGUCACAGUUUGUAUGUGUAGGAUGUUUGAGCUCAUGCUGGAUCUUUCUCCCACUGCCACUUCUCAGGUAGCUUACUGGCCCUUCAGUCAACUGUCCAGCAAUUAAUCUCAGGCACUGUGGUCUCUGCUGUUGGCCUCUUGCUUUGUAUAGUAGAAAUUAGGGGAAAGCUUAAUUGGCCUUUUCCAGAGGUAAUUUCCUGUGAUUUCUGCUGAGCGGUGCAGUAUUGAAUCAGAGAGAGCGAUAGGUUGCCGCUUGGGCAUGCUUGAUCACAUAUUUCUUAUCAUUCCACCCUUGUUUGGGGAAAAGCACGCUGACCAACUUCCUAAAGAAUGUAGUACGUACUUAAAUUAGAACCAGUCUGCCAUUGCACCUAUCCCUAUGCUAAGUAUAUCACACCUUAUUCUUGCCCAUCACAAUUAUGAGUUUGUUCACAACUCUUGCCAGUGGGAGUUGUCUAGCGUGGGGAGUGAGGAAACUACAGGAGGAGUAGGAUGCAGCUGGGAUUAAAGUCUUCUAAAUUGGGGAACCCUGUUCUAAAUAACCAGAAAGAGAAGGAAACCAAAUGCAUGGAUGUCAUUCCCUCUUGCCAUGAAAUACUUAUCAGCUCUUAAGCUCUUUUUAGGAAAAGCUGUGCAUUGCAUGGCCCUAAAAAUUAAAUCCACUUACCCACAUUCAACAAAAGUGGCUGGGCUACUCUUGCUAAAUCUUUUUCCAUUAUUGGCACAGUUUCCUUUCCCUGUUUCUCCAAGUUGCUAAAUUUGGAACAAUGAAAACAGCACUUGACAUCUUCCAACCUUGUGCAGGAAAAGACAGACUGCAGUAUUAGAAACUGCUGUAGUGUACUUGAACCAUAAUGGAUAUUUCUUUUACUGUGUAUUAGCAUUGUCUCUGACUCGUAUUUAUUUAUUUUAUGCUGUGGAGGAUUAUAUGAAUGACUGGUGGACAUGUAAGAGUCCCACUUUUUGUAGGUGCUAUGAUUGAACUGCUUUCAGCUGAACUUUUCUCUCUGCUGCCCUCCCAGACCCAAACCCAAUACCUUUCCCCCUUCUUUCCCCCCAUUUUUCACUGAAAGCAAAGCAUACAUAUUGUAUUGUCUUGGAUCAAAUGAUAUAAACAUUUUUAUUGUGUUUUUUUUUGUCCAAAGCUAUACUGAGAAAGAAAAAUACAAAUAUAUAUAUAUAUAUUUAAAAAGAUUGAUUGUAUGGUUAAAAUGCAGGAUGCAAUAAAAAAGGCACAGAUGUUUAAAAUGUAUCGUUGGUUUCUGAAUUGAGAUGACACGACAAGUGAAUUAGUAGCUCUCUUGAAAGACUUGCACAAAAAUGUCAGUUUCAAAGGAAUAAGCUUUCUUCAGCAGCUCAUAGACUAAUACAUAUUAGGGGAUACCUUUGGGCUGUGAUGGAGUUGGGUGCUAGGCACAAGAAAACAAAAGUUUCACAAGGUUUAACUUCUGGCCAAGGUUGGC